GUUUGAUUAUGGCUCAGUAACGAACGCUGGCGGCACGCCUAACACAUGCAAGUCGAGCGCUUCCCACCAACUUCGGUUGUGGGGAGGAGCGGCGGACGGGUUAGUAACGCGUGGGAAUAUACCCAUCACUAAGGAAUAGCCUCUGGAAACGGAGAGUAAUACCUUAUACGCCCUUCGGGGGAAAGAUUUAUCGGUGAUGGAUUAGCCCGCGUAAGAUUAGAUAGUUGGUGGGGUAGCGGCCUACCAAGUCGACGAUCUUUAGCUGGUUUGAGAGGAUGAUCAGCAACACUGGGACUGAGACACGGCCCAGACUCCUACGGGAGGCAGCAGUGGGGAAUCUUAGACAAUGGGCGCAAGCCUGAUCUAGCGAUGCCGCGUGAGUGAUGAAGGUCUUAGGAUCGUAAAGCUCUUUCGCCAGGGAUGAUAAUGACAGUACCUGGUAAAGAAACCCCGGCUAACUCCGUGCCAGCAGCCGCGGUAAUACGGAGGGGGUUAGCGUUGUUCGGAAUUACUGGGCGUAAAGCGCACGUAGGCGGAUUGGAAAGUAGGGGGUGAAAUCCCAGGGCUCAACCCUGGAACUGCCUCCUAAACUAACAGUCUAGAGUUCGAGAGAGGUGAGUGGAAUUCCAAGUGUAGAGGUGAAAUUCGUAGAUAUUUGGAGGAACACCAGUGGCGAACGCGGCUCACUGGCUCGAUACUGACGCUGAGGUGCGAAAGCGUGGGAGCAAACAGGAUUA
RNAcentral lists this ribosomal RNA (737 nucleotides) under uncultured bacterium. RNAcentral describes it as "bacterial SSU rRNA". It matches the Rfam family "Bacterial small subunit ribosomal RNA", at positions 11 to 780 of the family's 1533-position model. The record is from RNAcentral.